GCAACGCCGCUCCCCAUUGGCCCGCCGAGCGGCCCCGCCCGUAGAACGCCGCUCCCUAUUGGCUGAGCCGGCGUGUCGCCAUGGAAACGGCGCGGCCCGCCCCUGCCGGGGAGAGACAGGUAGCCGGAAAGCAUCUGAAUUAAAGCUUUAAGGAUGUUGCUGCUGGACAGGAACUUUCUGCACGUAGCCAAGCCUUAAAGAGCUUUGCAAUAAUAACCUUUGGAAUGAUGAUGAGGGUGGAGAUAGGAUUGUGACGAACC
Molecule: long non-coding RNA, 260 nt
Organism: Motacilla alba alba
Lineage: Eukaryota; Metazoa; Chordata; Aves; Passeriformes; Motacillidae
Exons: 2
Source: RefSeq, a predicted model, not a curated record